Naganishia cerealis is the source of this 88-nucleotide non-coding RNA. The record is from the annotation of a GenBank genome assembly. Lineage: Eukaryota; Fungi; Basidiomycota; Tremellomycetes; Filobasidiales; Filobasidiaceae.
UUCUCAUUAGCACAGUGGUAGUUGCGUCGAGCUGUUACUUUAGAAAUUUGGCACUCGAAGGUCGUUGGUUCGACCCCAACAUGGGAAG